AACGCACAUUGCGCUCCCUGGUAUUCCGGGGAGCAUGCCCGUUUCAGAACCAUUUAAAUAUCUCAAAGGAGGUGAAUUGCCAUUCGGCGAGGCACAACCUUUGGAUGUGGCGGUCACUCUUUGCGAGAGGCCGCUGGAAUGGAUUGUGCGUGUUCCGGAUGCGAUUGUCAUUCGGUUACCAAAGUGCAACAGAGCAUUCUAUUUCACCGAGGCAACCGUUUGAGCGCUGCGGAUCACGCACUCUCAAGUUUACACGAACGCGGGCGACGGUCAGUCGCCGGCUUCGAUAACUUGGUCUGAAAUCGGGUAAGAAAACCCGCUGAACUUAA
RNAcentral lists this unclassified non-coding RNA (329 nucleotides) under uncultured Spizellomycetales. RNAcentral describes it as "sequence contains 5.8S rRNA gene, ITS2, 28S rRNA gene". Lineage: Eukaryota; Fungi; Chytridiomycota; Chytridiomycetes; Spizellomycetales. The record is from RNAcentral.